Long non-coding RNA from Helianthus annuus (common sunflower), 294 nucleotides. RefSeq lists it as uncharacterized. Lineage: Eukaryota; Viridiplantae; Streptophyta; Magnoliopsida; Asterales; Asteraceae. The transcript is spliced from 2 exons. The record is from RefSeq and is a predicted model, not a curated record.
UUUGUUGUUGCUACUCCCAUUAUUCAUUCAAUGGUCUCAUUCACACUUGAUCACAAUAAGGUGGUUCAUGACGAGUGCCCACCUACCGAAUAAAAGAAGCAAGUUAGUACACAGAGUCUUCCCUCGCCCAAUUAACCUGCUUUGCUUCGCUCGCUUCCAUUUUGUUUCUAUACUUUAUUGGUCUUAUAAUACCUUUUGUUUAUAUUCAUGGUAGUUGUUGAUAUUUUUACUUAGCGUUAAAGUUUAUGUAUAAGAAAUCUAUGAUGUUAAUAAUGGCAGACUGGUUGUAAUCUA